Molecule: small RNA, 70 nt
Filed under: uncultured Polaribacter sp.
Lineage: Bacteria; Pseudomonadati; Bacteroidota; Flavobacteriia; Flavobacteriales; Flavobacteriaceae
Description: Flavo-1 RNA
Rfam family: Flavo-1 RNA
Source: RNAcentral
UUUAGCCCAGAUUGAAAUGGCAUCCUUUUUUGAGGGACGAAAAAAAGAUAUAAUGAAAAGCUGGAAAUAG